GUGAAUCAUCGAAUUUUUGAACGCAUAUUGCACUCUCUGGUAUUCCGGAGAGUAUGCCUAUUUGAGGGUCAUUUGAAAUAAUAUAAAUUUCAAGAUUUCUAGGUAUUUAAAAUGGGUGGUUCAUUUUUUGUGGUCGUCUAAAAUCAAAGUCAAGUUAAUUUUGUUGGGUUGCGUGAUACUUUCAGUUUCCUAGUGACUUAACUAGGAAUUAUCGUGAGUGUUAUGAAUUUUGACUGAGAUAAAACGUUUUAUAUG
RNAcentral lists this unclassified non-coding RNA (255 nucleotides) under Ambisporaceae sp. RNAcentral describes it as "partial contains 5.8S ribosomal RNA and internal transcribed spacer 2". The stretch from base 1 to 71 matches the Rfam family "5.8S ribosomal RNA", at positions 84 to 154 of the family's 154-position model. Lineage: Eukaryota; Fungi; Glomeromycota; Glomeromycetes; Archaeosporales; Ambisporaceae. The record is from RNAcentral.